This 450-nucleotide ribosomal RNA is filed under the name uncultured bacterium. Its description in RNAcentral is "partial 16S ribosomal RNA". It matches the Rfam family "Bacterial small subunit ribosomal RNA", at positions 354 to 796 of the family's 1533-position model. The record is from RNAcentral.
GUGGGGAAUUUUGGACAAUGGGCGCAAGCCUGAUCCAGCAAUGCCGCGUGCAGGAUGAAGGCCUUCGGGUUGUAAACUGCUUUUGUACGGAACGAAAAGCCCUGGGUUAAUACCCUGGGGUCAUGACGGUACCGUAAGAAUAAGCACCGGCUAACUACGUGCCAGCAGCCGCGGUAAUACGUAGGGUGCAAGCGUUAAUCGGAAUUACUGGGCGUAAAGCGUGCGCAGGCGGUUAUAUAAGACAGAUGUGAAAUCCCCGGGCUCAACCUGGGAACUGCAUUUGUGACUGUAUAGCUAGAGUACGGUAGAGGGGGAUGGAAUUCCGCGUGUAGCAGUGAAAUGCGUAGAUAUGCGGAGGAACACCGAUCGCGAAGGCAAUCCCCUGGACCUGUACUGACGCUCAUGCACGAAAGCGUAGGGAGCAAACAGGAUUAGAUACCCUAGUAGUCC